CCUACGGGAGGCAGCAGUGAGGAAUAUUGCACAAUGGGGGGAACCCUGAUGCAGCAACGCCGCGUGAGUGAAGAAGUAUUUCAGUAUGUAAAGCUCUAUCAGCAGAGAGACAAAUGCCGGUACCUGAGUACGACUCCCCGGCUAACUACGUGCCAGCAGCCGCCGUAAUACGUCGGGAGCAGGCGUUAUCCGGAUUUACUGGGUGUAAAGGGGUCGCAGACGGAAGUGUAAGUCUGGAGUGAAAGACCGGGGCCCAACCCCGGACCUGCUCUUGAAACUGUGUGGCUAGAGUAAUGGAGGGGUAGGCGGAAUGCCUAGUGUAGCGGUGAAAUGCGUAGAUAUUAGGAGGAACACCAGUGGCGAAGGCGGCCUGCUGGACAGUAACUGACGCUGAGGCUCGAAAGCGUGGGUAGCAAACAGGAUUAGAUACCCGAGUAGUC
This 440-nucleotide ribosomal RNA is filed under the name uncultured bacterium. RNAcentral's name for it is "partial 16S ribosomal RNA". It matches the Rfam family "Bacterial small subunit ribosomal RNA", at positions 338 to 795 of the family's 1533-position model. The record is from RNAcentral.